UGGUUCGGAGUGUUUAUUAAAACAUGGAGGUCUGGUGGUUCAGAGUGUUUAUUAAAACAUGGAGGUCUGGUGGUUCAGAGUGUUUAUUAAAACAUGGAGGUCUGGUGGUUCGGAGUGUUUAUUAAAACAUGGAGGUCUGGUGGUUCAGAGUGUUUAUUAAAACAUGGAGGUCUGGUGGUUCAGAGUGUUUAUUAAAACAUGGAGGUCUGGUGGUUCAGAGUGUUUAUUAAAACAUGGAGGUCUGGUGGUUCAGAGUGUUUAUUAAAACAUGGAGGUCUGGUGGUUCAGAGUGUUUAUUAAAACAUGGAGGUCUGGUGGUUCAGAGUGUUUAUUAAAACAUGGAGGUCUGGUGGUUCAGAGUGUUUAUUAAAACAUGGAGGUCUGGUGGUUCAGAGUGUUUAUUAAAACAUGGAGGUCUGGUGGUUCAGAGUGUUUAUUAAAACAUGGAGGUCUGGUGGUUCGGAGGGUUUAUUAAAACAUGGAGGUCUGGUGGUUCGGAGUGUUUAUUAAAACAUGGAGGUCUGGUGGUUCGGAGUGUUUAUUAAAACAUGGAGGUCUGGUGGUUCAGAGUGUUUAUUAAAACAUGGAGGUCUGGUGGUUCAGAGUGUUUAUUAAAACAUGGAGGUCUGGUGGUUCGGAGGGUUUAUUAAAACAUGGAGGUCUGGUGGUUCGGAGUGUUUAUUAAAACAUGGAGGUCUGGUGGUUCGGAGUGUUUAUUAAAACAUGGAGGUCUGGUGGUUCAGAGUGUUUAUUAAAACAUGGAGGUCUGGUGGUUGAACAGAGACGUGGGGCUGCUCCAGACCGCAAGAUCAAUCAGUUAGCCGACUAACAAAUAUUCUAAAUAAUGUCAGAGACUUGAAACUGGCAUCAUGGCAAUAACGUCAAGGUAUAACUGGCAUCAUGGCAAUAACGUCAAGGUAUAACUGGCAUCAUGGCAAUAACGUCAAGGAUAACCUAGCAUCAUGGCAAUAACGUCAAGGAUAACCUAGCAUCAUAGCAAUAACGUCAAGGAUAACCUAGCAUCAUAGCAAUAACGUCAAGGAUAACCUAGCAUCAUGGCAAUAACGUCAAGGUAUAGCUGGCAUCAUGGCAAUAACGUCAAGGAUAACCUAGCAUCAUGGCAAUAACGUCAAGGAUAACCUAGCAUCAUGGCAAUAACGUCAAGGAUAACCUAGCAUCAUGGCAAUAACGUCAAGGAUAACCUAGCAUCAUGGCAAUAACGUCAAGGAUAACCUAGCAUCAUGGCAAUAACGUCAAGGAUAACCUAGCAUCAUAGCAAUAACGUCAAGGAUAACCUAGCAUCAUAGCAAUAACGUCAAGGAUAACCUAGCAUCAUGGCAAUAACGUCAAGGAUAACCUAGCAUCAUGGCAAUAACGUCAAGGAUAACCUAGCAUCAUGGCAAUAACGUCAAGGAUAACCUAGCAUCAUGGCAAUAACGUCAAGGAUAACCUAGCAUCAUGGCAAUAACGUCAAGGAUAACCUAGGAUCAUAGCAAUAACGUCAAGGAUAACCUAGCAUCAUGGCAAUAACGUCAAGGAUAACCUAGCAUCAUAGCAAUAACGUCAAGGAUAACCUAGCAUCAUGGCAAUAACGUCAAGGAUAACCUAGCAUCAUGGCAAUAACGUCAAGGAUAACCUAGCAUCAUGGCAAUAACGUCAAGGAUAACCUAGCAUCAUGGCAAUAACGUCAAGGAUAACCUAGCAUCAUAGCAAUAACGUCAAGGAUAACCUAGCAUCAUAGCAAUAACGUCAAGGAUAACCUAGCAUCAUGGCAAUAACGUCAAGGAUAACCUAGCAUCAUGGCAAUAACGUCAAGGAUAACCUAGCAUCAUGGCAAUAACGUCAAGGAUAACCUAGCAUCAUGGCAAUAACGUCAAGGUAUAACUGGCAUCAUGGCAAUAACGUCAAGGAUAACCUAGCAUCAUGGCAAUAACGUCAAGGAUAACCUAGCAUCAUAGCAAUAACGUCAAGGAUAACCUAGCAUCAUGGCAAUAACGUCAAGGAUCACCUAGCAUCAUGGCAAUAACGUCAAGGAUAACCUAGAAUCAUGGCAAUAACGUCAAGGUAUAACUGGCAUCAUGGCAAUAACGUCAAGGAUAACCUAGCAUCAUGGCAAUAACGUCAAGGAUAACCUAGCAUCAUGGCAAUAACGGCAAGGAUAACCUAGCAUCAUAGCAAUAACGUCAAGGAUAACCUAGCAUCAUAGCAAUAACGUCAAGGAUAACCUAGCAUCAUGGCAAUAACGUCAAGGAUAACCUAGCAUCAUGGCAAUAACGUCAAGGAUAACCUAGCAUCAUGGCAAUAACGUCAAGGAUAACCUAGCAUCAUGGCAAUAACGUCAAGGUAUAACUGGCAUCAUGGCAAUAGCGUCAAGGAUAACCUAGCAUCAUGGCAAUAACGUCAAGGAUAACCUAGCAUCAUAGCAAUAACGUCAAGGAUAACCUAGCAUCAUGGCAAUAACGUCAAGGAUCACCUAGCAUCAUGGCAAUAACGUCAAGGAUAACCUAGCAUCAUGGCAAUAACGUCAAGGUAUAACUGGCAUCAUGGCAAUAACGUCAAGGAUAACCUAGCAUCAUGGCAAUAACGUCAAGGAUAACCUAGCAUCAUGGCAAUAACGGCAAGGAUAACCUAGCAUCAUGGCAAUAACGUCAAGGAUAACCUAGCAUCAUAGCAAUAACGUCAAGGAUAACCUAGCAUCAUGGCAAUAACGUCAAGGAUAACCUAGCAUCAUGGCAAUAACGUCAAGGAUAACCUAGCAUCAUGGCAAUAACGUCAAGGAUAACCUAGCAUCAUGGCAAUAACGUCAAGGAUAACCUAGCAUCAUGGCAAUAACGUCAAGGAUAACCUAGCAUCAUGGCAAUAACGGCAAGGAUAACCUAGCAUCAUGGCAAUAACGUCAAGGAUAACCUCGCAUCAUGGCAAUAACGUCAAUGUAUAAUUGGCAUCAUGGUAUAACUGACUUGACAACCAUAUUAAAGUUCAGCUUGAUAAAUAUAUCAGUAAAUCAAGAACCAUAUUUUACUCCUAAUAAGAGUUCUGGCUUAACUUACUGAUCCUGCUUUUGCAACAGCUCAGUGUUCUGAUGUUCAACUCUACUGCAAAAACAUUCUCCUCUGUAAACAAUACAAAACAUAAUUAAUUCUUAAUUCUAAAUAAAAACCUUUAAAACCAAGCAUGUCCUUCAUAAGGCACAGUUCUCAAAGGAUUUAGUAACAGUGUGUUCCUCAGCAGCACCUCGCUAGGUCCUUUAGUAACAGUGUGGUCCUCAGCAACACCUCGCUAGGCCCUUUAGUAACAGUGUGGUCCUCAGCAACACCUCGCUAGGCCCUUUAGUAACAGUGUGUUCCUCAGCAACACCUCGCUAGGUCCUUUAGUAACAGUGUGUUCCUCAGCAGCACCUCGCUAGGUCCUUUAGUAACAGUGUGUUCCUCAGCAACACCUCACUAGGUCCUUUAGUAACAGUGAGGUCCUCAGCAACACCUCGCUAGGUCCUUUAGUAACAGUGUGUUCCUCAUCAGCACCUCGCUAGGUCCUUUAGUAACACUGUGUUCCUCAGCAACACCUCACUAGGUCCUUUAGUAACAGUGAGGUCCUCAGCAACACCUCGCUAGGUCCUUUAGUAACAGUGUGUUCCUCAGCAACACCUCGCUAGGCCCUUUAGUAACAGUGUGUUCCUCAGCAACACCUCGCUAGGUCCUUUAGUAACAGUGUGGUCCUCAGCAACACCUCGCUAGGCCCUUUAGUAACAGUGUGUUCCUCAGCAACACCUCGCUAGGUCCUUUAGUAACAGUGUGGUCCUCAGCAACACCUCGCUAGGCCCUUUAGUAACAGUGUGUUCCUCAGCAACACCUCGCUAGGCCCUUUAGUAACACUGUGUUCCUCAGCAACACCUCGCUAGGUCCUUUAGUAACAGUGUGUUCCUCAGCAACACCUCGCUAGGCCCUUUAGUAACACUGUGUUCCUCAGCAACACCUCGCUAGGCCCUUUAGUAACAGUGUGUUCCUCAGCAACACCUCGCUAGGUCCUUUAGUAACAGUGUGUUCCUCAGCAACACCUCGC
Molecule: long non-coding RNA, 4059 nt
Organism: Oncorhynchus keta (chum salmon)
Lineage: Eukaryota; Metazoa; Chordata; Actinopteri; Salmoniformes; Salmonidae
Exons: 6
Source: RefSeq, a predicted model, not a curated record